UCCCGGUCCGGCCGGGGCAGGCCGUCCGGGAUGGUCUCGAACCGGAACCCGUCCACGCCCCGGACGGCGCCCGGCCCGCGCGACCGGACGAGCCGGGCGUGGUUGAACUCCGUGUUGACGAAGGUGAUGCGGAAGCUCCCCCGCGCGUGGAGGAGCUUCGCGAGCCUCAGCAUCGGCGUGAGGUGGCCUUGCGCCGGGAACGGUAAAAACACCGCAUGCGGUGUCGCCGCCGCUUCGCCGUUGCUCUCCAUUUUCUUUUCUUUUAUGCCUUUUCUUUUAAGAUCUUGUUGUGCGGUUGUGGUAUAGUCGCUUGGCGUGAUCGCUCACCAAGCUACUUCUUCUCCUCCUCCUCCUCCUCCUCCUUAAGUGAGUGAGAUCGAUAUAGACCCUGAUUAAUUUUCUAAUUUUUUAUUUCAUUUUUUAAUUUCGUGCCUAGGAUGUAUUUUAUGUUUGAGUCGGUUUCACGUACGUUGGAAAUUUUCGAUUUACUUUAGAAGCGGUGGUAAUUGAAAAACACAUACACAGAUAAGAUUAGAAUUGAUCACGGCAAUUCACGCAAGUAGGGCCCGUAUCUGACAAUAACUGGUGGACAGAGUCUCGAAAUCCCAAUUAUUAAUUAAACAAUUAUAAAUUAUGCUGAUGCAGCAGUGACCACUACCAUCUGGUAAAGACUUAACAACAUUUUUUUAUUUUCAUCCCUCACAUAAUUAAAUAUUUAUUAAUAUUCUAUUUUUUAAAUAUUAAUUAAUAUUUUAUUAAUAUUAAUUAAUAGAAUUUUAAAAUUGUAAAAUUUGACAAUUAAUAUUUUAUUAUAUUGACUAACAUUCCAGAUUCUUUUCUUAUUUUUAUUCCUAGCAUAAUUAAAUAUUUAUUAAUAUUUUUAUUUUUAUUAAAUAUUUAUUAACAUUAACAUUAACAUUAACAUUUUAUUAUUAUUAAUUUAAAUUUUAAAAUUAAUUUUUUAUUUUUUUAUUUUUUUAAAAUAAUAAAAGAAUAAAAAAAAAAUAGAAUUGUAAAUUUUGACAAGGGCCGGGCAUGGCGCGUACCGCUCUACCACAAAUGAUGAUAGGCCAGUGCACCCAACAAAGUGCAAUGUGGAUGACGGGCCUGGGUGGACCACGGGCCUAGGGCAUGGAUUUUGUUGAUCACCCAUAGACCUCGUCCAGGUAAGUAUGGGCUAAAAGCCCACGCACCACUCAUUUUAGAGGACCCGGAACUACGAAGAAUAAUGCAAUAGUCGAUGUGGGAUUAAAGUCCACGCAUCAUUUUGUAUCUACUACUGUUCUGAAGACCAGGUCCACCACUAACCAGACUGGUAAAACUCAAGACAAGGUGAAAUUCAAUAUCGUUUUGAUGUAAUCUACGAACAAACAUUACUAUAUAUAUAGUCAACAACGGGCUUCUUUAUAUUACUACUUUUUCGGGCUAUUCAAAUGCGUCGGUUAUAGAUUAUUUAGACGUUUAAUUAGAUUGGUUCAUGUGCUUUGCAGGUAUAUAAUUCAACUAAACGAUAAAGCAUUAGUGAGGGCAAAAUAAAUUAAAGAUGGAAAAUAAAAAUAAAGUUGAAAAAUCCGACCGGUUGUAGCCAGCUACCUAAUUAAGAAUUUACGACGGUCAAAUCCAACUACAACCCUCCGCUCUGCCAACUGAGCUAAAAUCGAAAGGUUUAAUGCAAGAGAGAGAGAGUAAUCAAAAUUCUCGACCUAAGAACAACUCAAGCAACCGACUGUUCCUAAAGCAAGUGGCAAAGGACAUAAAGAUUGGUAGCCGAGAUCCCAAAUUCGAAAUCUAGUUGAUUCACAUUUCCAACUAAGUUUAUUUUCUAAAUGAAAUAAACGAAACGGAUAGUAUGCUACCUAUUUCUAAAAAAAAAAAGAAAAGAAAAAAAAAAGAGAAUAACUCAAGCACUGCUAUGGGGCCUAUGCGCUAACCGACCGUGCGCACCACGACCACAACUUACGUGACCCAUAAGUAGCAUUUGAUUUCAUCUUACAUGUAGAGUUGCAAACAAAGAUCCCCAGUACAUAUAUAUGUACAUACAUCUGCAAGGAUUGAUCGAGCAAACAGAAAAUGUCUCUAUUAUUCAUCAUGUCAUGGGGGAGUGCUAGCAAGCUCUGCGCAACCAUAUGUCACAGCACAUUAAUUACAACAGUUUUUUCAAGUUUCCAAAUUGAAAGAACAAACUAAAUACAAAUUUUAAAACCAAUCUAUUAAGAGAAGCAAUGUUCAUGUUCACGUUCACUCCCUCUUACUGAAAGAGACCUGCAGGUCAUCCACCAACCUCAGGAUAACUCAAACAUCGCUACGAGACCUACACGCUACUACGCUAGCCAACUGCGGCACCACCCCUUGUUAUGUUGUUAGUAUAUAACACAAAUUUGAUCAAAAUUUUUAAAAUAUUAAGUAAUGCAUGGAUUAAGCAAAUUGAUAAUGUAUUUUCUUGUUCAUUAUUUCAGUGAGCAAGCUCCAAGUAACUAAGCAUCAGAGGACAUUGUGAUGGUUUUUAAUCCCCCACAUUAAAAUUACAAGCUAAAUACAAAAUUUAAAAGUGAAGCAAUAUGAAAAACAACGUUCACUGCCUCUUACUCUUGCUGAAAGAGGCCAAGUCCUCCACCAACCUCUCAAGAUCUACAAAGGAAGAUCCACUGGGCUCAGUUGCUUCUCUAGCCUUCAACUUCCACUCCCUGGCCUUCUCCCUCAUCUCCCUCCCCUUCUCCCCACCCAUCAACUCCCUCACCAUUCUCUCCACCUCCCCUCUCGUCGCAUCACUCCCAAUCUCCAUCCCCAUCCCCCACUCCGUGCACAAGUACCGACAAUUCGUCGGCUGCUCUGCGAAGAACGGCCAACAUAUCAUCGGCACCCCCUGGUGUAUGCUCUCUAACGUGGAGUUCCACCCGCAGUGGCUGAGAAAACCACCAACCGCUGGAUGGGCCAGUACCGCCUUUUGGUUGCACCACUCCGCCAACAAUCCCCUUCCUUCUGUCUCCUUUACAAACCCUUCUGGCAAUACUGCCUUAUCACCACCGACGAGAUCAGGUCGCACCACCCAUAGGAACGGCGACUUGGUGGCUGCUAGUCCCCAUGCAAACUCUGCUAGCUGGUCCCUUGUCAUGACCGCGAUGCUCCCGAAGUUCACGUACACCACCGAUCCUGCAACCUAGGAUGGCAAUUUCCAACAUGACAUGUUAAUGCGACACAACCAUGACUAAACGCAUUGUGAAGUUGCUGUUAGAAAUUCGAAAUCAACAUAAAGACAUAGGAGGUAAUCUUUUAAAGGGCAGAGCUAACACACGACUGCCGAACUCAAACACAACUCUAGAAACCUAAGUGUGGCCCGUAUACGUACCUGUGUGUAUAGCCAUUUUAUGCAGUUGUUAUCUUCCUUCCAAAGGUUGGACCCGAUGGAGGAAGAAGGGGCUGUCGGCGGGAUACUAUGAGACAGAAGAGAAAUCGGACCGAUGACGUAGAGGUUGGGGAGCCUGGAACGAAUGGCGGCGAGGGCAUCGUGCUCGAGGGCGUCGAACGUGUUGAGGAUAAUUCCGAAUGCACGGGGGGCAUCGUCCUCGGACUGCAUGAUGUUGAUGUUGAGCAUGAUGUCGUCGGGAUCAGUGGUCUGGAUAAAGGACGGAAUGUCGCGGAGGCGAAUGUUCUUCAUGCCCCUGAUCCAGUCCAGGGGAGUGUCGAGGUAGCCGUUGGUUAAGUAGCUCUUAUCUGCAUGUGUAUAAUGCAUGCGAGAGUAAAUGUCGUACAUGCAGGGAAAAUAUAGGCUUAUUUGAGAGGAGAUCAUGAACACACGCAUAUAACUUAAUUGAGCACAUUGUUUAUAAUGCAUACAACUUAUUACCCAUAACUGAAUAUCGAAUGAAAUGUUUGAGGUUAAAAACAUGUUGAAUAUUAAAGUAGACAAAAUAUUGAGUUUUUUGUAUGAUUUGUAUGAGGAAGGAUUGAAUAUUGUUCUUUAUCGUAGGUGGUAAAUUUCUUUCAGUAGGUAGUGCUUGUUACUAGUAUACUUUACAUAUUCUCUUUUUGGACAUAAACUAAUAAAUUAAGAGCACAUCAUUAAUUCGAUCUGACUACGUCAAGUAUACAUUAUUCCAACUUCUUAGUUACAUUGACCUUAUAGAAAGGUAAUAUUUGUGAAAGCUUAUCCUAAGGGGAAAAAAAAACUUUCAUUAAAUGCUAUCAUUUUAUGAUGGCCAAAAAUUUCUUUCAGUUGCUCGUGGUAAAAUCUUUAGAUAUUUUUUUCCAUUAAAGAAUAAAAUCGAAAUUACUAAGCUAGAGAGAGAUGUAUACUUUUUUUUUUUUUUUUUGUGGACAUGAGAUAGAGUGGUGAUUACGGACGUAAAUAUGGUGGAAAUGAAGGUACCUUACCUAGUCAAGCUGGUGGAAAUACGGUGGAAAUGAAGGUACCUUACCUAGUCAAGCUGGUGGAAAUAUGGUGGAAAUGAAGGUACCUUACCUAGUCAAGCUGGUUCACAUAAAUAUAUGCAUGUGAAACCAAGCCAAACCGACAAUUUUGAUAUAGUUUUGGAUGCAAAUGAUUUGAUUUUAGUUUAAUCAAUUUUGAAACCAAAAAUUGUGGUUGGUUUUGAGUUGAAAUUUUGAGAAAACUUCUUAAAUUGCAAAACCAAAUUAUAUAUUUUUACGUGUAUCUACAGUACUACUUAUAAAAGCGUGAGUUUUAAAUUUUUUCUCUUUCAAAAAAUGCCUCUACUCUUUUAUUAAUAUUUUCGUGUCCAGUAAUCUCCAACCAAUCAUUUUAAAUAAUUUACUAAAUAAUAACUUAUUCUCAAAUAAAGAUAUAUAUAAAUUAUAUAUAUAUAAUACCGGAGUUUUGAUAUUAUAGUCUUAUUUUCGAUUUUAGAAUAUUCAAAUCAACAACUAUGUACAACUAUAAUAUCAUUUGUAAAAAGUUAUAUACAGGAAAAUGUAAUUUCAGAUAGGAUGCUUCCACAAAUGUAAGCGCCAAUUAGAGCAUAUUUGUUUCACUGAAAGUGGACUUUGUGUUGAAGUGGAAUUUAAGUUGAAGUGGAAUUCAGUAAAAACUACUUUUUUUUGCUCUUUGUUUCGUAAAUAUUAUAGAAGCGAAGUUUUAUUAGUUCUGCUAUUUGGUUGGUAAGAAGUGUAUGAUAUAUAAAACUAUAAUUUAUAUAUAAAUAAUAAAUAUUUUAAUAAAUAAAAAUAAUAUAAUUAUUUUUUUAUAUAAUUAAAAUUUAAUUUAAAAUAAAUAAAUUAUUUUUUAUACAUAAAUUAUAGUAAUACAACAAUAAAAUUAUAAAGUUAAAAAAUAUUAAUACUUAAUUAAUCAAUUUUUAUUAUAUUUUAAUUAUACAAAAUAAAUAAAAAAUAUUAAAACUUAACUAAUUAAUUUUUAUCAUAUAUUAAAUAUGUCAACUGAAUAAAAAAAUAAUUAGUAAUAUAAUUAAGUAUCUUUAAAUAUAAUUAUUUUUAUCUAAUAUAUUAUUUUAUCAUCUUUUUCUUUAUAUCUUUUCACCAUAAUUGACUUCCGGUUGUUGUCAAUUACGCCGUUUGAGAUUAAUUCAAAUUUCGACCGUAACUUUGUUACGACGAACCAAACAACGAAGAUAUAUAAUUAUUUAUGGCGAAAACGACUUCUCUCUAUUCCACUUCUACCCUACUUCCAUCCAAACAAACAUGCCCUUAACCAACGCAAUUGUGCUAACACUAUUCGUCCCUUGCCUAAACAAACUCUAAAUAUAUAUUAAUUAAAAUUCUUUGCAGUUACUUCAAUAUAUGUAUGAGCAAUCUAAACUUGGACUAGCUAGCUAGCUACAUAUUUUUACUCCAUAGAAAUGGUGUAUAUUUCUUAACUCAAAAAAAAAAAAAGAAAAACAAAGAAAGAACACUACAACAAAAACGGUUUAUAGCGACACUUUUAAAUAUAGGCACAAGUCAAAAAAGUGCUGCUAGCUAAAAUUACCGACACUUUUAAAAAGUGUUGCUAUAUGUGGGGUCGCUAGGUAUGUAGUGACAGUUAAAGAGUGUCGCUAUAACCUAAAAGAGUGCCACUAAUUUACCAACACUUAUUUAAACAUUUAGCAACCGCCGAAACUCUAUCUCGUUGGCUGCGGUGGCGGAGGAGGACGACAGUAAAGGCUAUUCAUCUAGAAUUUCAGUGGAUUGAGUGAAGAGAGAAAAAAAGAUGGUAAUUGAUUUUUCUUUUUUUUUUCUUUUCUGUUUGUAAUCGGGCCAAAUGGACUGGGUGUGGUGGGUUGAGUAGAGUAAUCUUUUAUUUUUGGUUGGAUUAAGCUUUAUAUUUAGGUAUUAGUAGAUGUGUUUUUAAGUUUUAGCAUAAAUGGAACACUUAUUCAAAAAUGUCCUAAACAUGUGCCGCUAUAACCUAAUUCUGUGUUAGUGGAACAAGAAGUCAAUCUACUUAAUGGGAUGCUCCAUAUUUAUAAAGCUAGUGAUCUUAAUUAUUCUUGAGAGAAGCUAUGUACACAAAUACCAGUAGUAUUAGUAAGAACAACUUGUAACUUUAAAUAGAAGAAAAAAAAAAAACUUCUCACUCUGAAGGGAGGUGUGAACUAUCUGCUAAGAAUUAAUAUAAAUUUUAAAGCAAGUUAUAUGUAUAUGCAGGUUUGGAUAGUUUACACUUACCUCUUUCUUAUUGGAGAGCUCUUCAGUGAAGUUUUGUUAUAACAAACCUUUUAGCGGGACGUAGCCUCUCCUCACGAGCUCUGCAUAGUUCAUGUACCCCAGCACCCCGCCGGCGCUAGGGGUGAAGAAGAUCAGGACGGGGAUCCCCAUCUCCUCCGCCGGGUACACCGCGAACCCCAUCGCCCCGUCCGCCACCACGCACGUCACCGGAUCCCCCGCGGCGCUGUGCCGUGAGAUGAGCUCCUUGAGCGGGGGCCCGCACGUGAGGCGGGUGGACGCGCAGAGCUGGGGCACGUCCUGCGUCCCGUCCCGGUCGGACUGGGGCAGGGCGUCCGGGAUGGUCUCGAACCGGAACCCGUCCACGCCCCGGACGGCGCCCGGCCCGCGCGACCGGACGAGCCGGGCGUGGUUGAACUCCGUGUUGACGAAGGUGAUGCGGAAGCUCCCCCGCGCGUGGAGGAGCUUCGCGAGCCUCAGCAUCGGCGUGACGUGGCCUUGCGCCGGGAACGGUAAAAACACCGCAUGUGGUGCCGCCGCCGCAGCCGCCGCCGCCGC
This 7176-nucleotide long non-coding RNA is filed under the name Ananas comosus (pineapple). RNAcentral describes it as "long non-coding RNA (ACOM_LNC022809)". Lineage: Eukaryota; Viridiplantae; Streptophyta; Magnoliopsida; Poales; Bromeliaceae. The record is from RNAcentral.